Molecule: microRNA precursor, 90 nt
Filed under: Callithrix jacchus (white-tufted-ear marmoset)
Lineage: Eukaryota; Metazoa; Chordata; Mammalia; Primates; Cebidae
Also listed under: 2 other names
Description: mir-146 microRNA precursor family
Rfam family: mir-146 microRNA precursor family
Source: Rfam by way of RNAcentral
UUGGCCACCUGGCACUGAGAACUGAAUUCCAUAGGCUGUGAGCUCUAGCGAAUGCCCUAUGGACUCAGUUCUGGUGCCCGGUGGUGCUGC